GACGAACGCUGGCGGCGUGCUUAACACAUGCAAGUCGAACGGAAAGGCCCUGCUUUUGUGGGGUGCUCGAGUGGCGAACGGGUGAGUAACACGUGAGUAACCUGCCCUUGACUUUGGGAUAACUUCAGGAGACUGGGGCUAAUACCGGAUAGGAGCUCCUGCUGCAUGGUGGGGGUUGGAAAGUUUCGGCGGUUGGGGAUGGACUCGCGGCUUAUCAGCUUGUUGGUGGGGUAGUGGCUUACCAAGGCUUUGACGGGUAGCCGGCCUGAGAGGGUGACCGGCCUCAUUGGGACUGAGAUACGGCCCAGACUCCUACGGGAGGCAGCAGUGGGGAAUAUUGCACAAUGGGCGGAAGCCUGAUGCAGCAACGCCGCGUGCGGGAUGACGGCCUUCGGGUUGUAAACCGCUUUCGCCUGUGACGAAGCGUGAGUGACGGUAAUGGGUAAAGAAGCACCGGCUAACUACGUG
Molecule: ribosomal RNA, 468 nt
Filed under: uncultured bacterium
Lineage: Bacteria
Description: partial 16S ribosomal RNA
Rfam family: Bacterial small subunit ribosomal RNA
Source: RNAcentral